GAGCAGGUAGCCUAGUGGUUAGAGCAGGUAGCCUAGUGGUUAGAGCAGGUAGUCUAGUGGUUAGAGCAGGUAGCCUAGUGGUUAGAGGCAGGUAGCCUAGUGGUUAGAGCAGGUAGCCUAGUGGUUAGAGCAGGUAGCCUAGUGGUUAGAGCAGGUAGCCUAGUGGUUAGAGCAGGUAGCCUGGUGGUUAGAGCAGGUAGCCUAGUGGUUAGAGCAGGUAGCCUAGUGGUUAGAGCAGGUAGCCUAGUGGUUAGAGCAGGUAGCCUAGUGGUUAGAGCAGGUAGCCUAGUGGUUAGAGCAGGUAGACUAGUGGUUAGAGCAGGUAGCCUAGUGGUUAGAGCAGGUAGCCUAGUGGUUAGAGCAGGUAGCCUAGUGGUUAGAGCAGGUAGCCUAGUGGUUAGAGCAGGUAGCCUAGUGGUUAGAGCAGGUAGCCUAG
Oncorhynchus tshawytscha (Chinook salmon) is the source of this 436-nucleotide long non-coding RNA. Lineage: Eukaryota; Metazoa; Chordata; Actinopteri; Salmoniformes; Salmonidae. The record is from Ensembl.